This 467-nucleotide ribosomal RNA is filed under the name uncultured bacterium. RNAcentral describes it as "partial 16S ribosomal RNA". It matches the Rfam family "Bacterial small subunit ribosomal RNA", at positions 28 to 506 of the family's 1533-position model. The record is from RNAcentral.
GACGAACGCUGGCGGCGUGCUUAACACAUGCAAGUCGAACGGAAAGGCCCUGCUUUUGUGGGGUGCUCGAGUGGCGAACGGGUGAGUAACACGUGAGUAACCUGCCCUUGACUUUGGGAUAACUUCAGGAAACUGGGGCUAAUACCGGAUAGGAGCUCCUGCUGCAUGGUGGGGGUUGGAAAGUUUCGGCGGUUGGGGAUGGACCCGCGGCUUAUCAGCUUGUUGGUGGGGUAGUGGCUUACCAAGGCUUUGACGGGUAGCCGGCCUGAGAGGGUGACCGGCCACAUUGGGACUGAGAUACGGCCCAGACUCCUACGGGAGGCAGCAGUGGGGAAUAUUGCACAAUGGGCGGAAGCCUGAUGCAGCAACGCCGCGUGCGGGAUGACGGCCUUCGGGUUGUAAACCGCUUUCGCCUGUGACGAAGCGUGAGUGACGGUAAUGGGGAAAGAAGCACCAGCUAACUACGU